CCUACGGGUGGCAGCAGUGAGGAAUAUUCGUCAAUGGGCGCGAGCCUGAACCAGCAAAGUAGCGUGAAGGAGGACUGCCCUACGGGUUGUAAACUUCUUUUAUGAAGGAAUAAAGUGAGGCACGUGUGCCUUUUUGUAUGUACUUUAUGAAUAAGGGUCGGCUAAAUCCGGGCCAGCAGCCGGGGUAAUUCGGAGGGUCCGAGCGUUAUCCGGAUUUAUUGGGUUUAAAGGGAGCGUAGAUGGGUUGGUAAGUCAGUUGUGAAAGUUUGCGGCUCAACCGUAAAAAUGCAAUUGAUACUGGCAGCCUUGAGUACAGUUGAGGUCGGCGGAAUUCGUGGUGUAGCGGUGAAAUGCUUAGAUAUCACGAAGAACUCCGAUUGCGAAGGCAGCCUACUAAACUGCCACUGACAUUGAUGCUCGAAAGUGUGGGUAUCAAACAGGAUUAGAUACCCGAGUAGUC
Molecule: ribosomal RNA, 460 nt
Filed under: uncultured bacterium
Lineage: Bacteria
Description: partial 16S ribosomal RNA
Rfam family: Bacterial small subunit ribosomal RNA
Source: RNAcentral